UCACUGAUAUGAAGAGCUUGCUCGGAUUUGAAGAUGAACAUUGCAAAGAGUGGCGAACGGGUGAGUAACACGUGGGAAACCUACCUCUUAGCGGGGGAUAACACUUGGAAACAAGUGCUAAUACCGCAUAAUACUGAUAACCGCAUGGUUAUCAGUUGAAAGAUGGUUCUGCUAUCACUAAGAGAUGGUCCCGCGGUGUAUUAGCUAGUUGGUAAGGUAAUGGCUUACCAAGGCAAUGAUACAUAGCCGAGUUGAGAGACUGAUCGGCCACAAUGGGACUGAGACACGGCCCAUACUCCUACGGGAGGCAGCAGUAGGGAAUCUUCCACAAUGGACGAAAGUCUGAUGGAGCAACGCCGCGUGUGUGAUGAAGGGUUUCGGCUCGUAAAACACUGUUGUAAGAGAAGAAUGACAUUGAGAGUAACUGUUCAGUGUGUGACGGUAUCUUACCAGAAAGGAACGGCUAAAUACGUGCCAGCAGCCGCGGUAAUACGUAUGUUCCAAGCGUUAUCCGGAUUUAUUGGGCGUAAAGCGAGCGCAGACGGUUGUUUAAGUCUGAAGUGAAAGCCCACAGCUUAACUGUGGAAGUGCUUUGGAAACUGGAUAACUUGAGUGCAGUAGAGGAGAGUGGAACUCCAUGG
RNAcentral lists this ribosomal RNA (641 nucleotides) under Weissella minor. RNAcentral describes it as "bacterial SSU rRNA". It matches the Rfam family "Bacterial small subunit ribosomal RNA", at positions 47 to 674 of the family's 1533-position model. Lineage: Bacteria; Bacillati; Bacillota; Bacilli; Lactobacillales; Lactobacillaceae. The record is from RNAcentral.